AGCUGGGCUGCGAGGGGACAGACGCACAUGCCUCUGAGUGAGGUGGCCAAGCCCCGCGGCCCCGGGGGGCGGCAGCGCAGCACUCCCCGCGCCCCUCCUCGAGCACCCCCUUACCUUGCCUGGGGUGCAGCUUGUGCCUCCUCGCUCCUGUCGUCAAGCCGUCGAUGAAGAGCGUGGCAGCUUGAAGAAGUGGACCAGCAAUUGAACAAUCCCCUGUGUGACAUUUCUUACAGCAGUUGUUUUUUUCUGCAUUUCUAAGAUAAUAGGCAAUUCAAGCAACUUUUGUUCAGGGUUAGAUUUGUGUUGUGCAGUUUUCAGGCACCCUGAGGGAAAAGGAAGAUGAUAUCCUUUUCUGAGUUUUUGUUUUACAGUUUGAAAGGUCUCUGUAAAAAUUUAAGACAUCCUUUAGAGCUAAAUGUAAUUAAUCGUUGUCUUCUACCCCUUCCUCAAAUGAAAACCCAAAACCUUGGUUUAAAAGUUUUUUAAACCUUUAACUCCUGUAAGCAAGGCAAAAGAGAAGUUUGGAAGUUCAACUUGCACUUCCAUAGAAAAUGUCAAAGUUCUUUACAUUUGUCACUCAACUUUGGGACAAAGCACAGAAUCGGUAUUUGCUGCAGAAAGGGAAAGUUUUAAAAUAAAAAUCAAUUCAGAAUCCACUUCUGGGCAAAAUGGCACCUUCUGACUCUUCAACUGGUGAAGUCCUACAAACCUCAACUAUUACAAGUCAAUUAUUUAUUUUGUAUGAUGAAUAUAAAAAAGAGUUAAGUAAAGCAUCACCUGCAAAGCCAUGCAUCUUCAACCCUGUGACUGGCUGGCCAGGGUUGGAGGGCUGGGAGGCAGAGGAAUCUCCAGGAUUGUGGAGACCCAAGUCAGGACACCCUUAGGACAAGGUGUAAUGGCACAUAACCUCCCUGCGUGGCCUUGUGCCCACGUUUAUAAGCCAGGUUUAAUUAAAGUCUUGGAUGCUUACAGUGAGAUGACUCACCCAUAUUGGCUGGGGUGCUUCCAGAACAGAGUUGCCCUGCAUGCAGUCAGUUCUGACAGUGGUGUUGGUUCUUCUCGCUGUGUCCAUCCUUAGGGCUGGUGUGAGCAUAGCUGUGGCUGCCUGAUGGCUGCCCACUUCUGGGGAGCAGUUGUCUCCCUGCUUCCCUGUGAGUGUGUAGGUGCACUGACACGCCCAUUCUGGUAUGUGUCAUCUACUGCCAAGAGCAGGCCUUCCUAAAAACAAACAAGGUUGUAUCGCCAUGCGCUCACCUUGUUGAUGAAUGAACCUGAACCAGAUUUGUUUACAGUGCUGCAAAGGGCCUGCAUAGUAACAUUGUCCUGUCCUUGCAGCUGAUUGCUCAUCCACACACAUUGAGAAAGAGAUCCUCAGAAGAGGAGCAAACCCAAACUUUUCUAAAAGUAUGGCCUUUCCUGUGUCAGUAUGAACGAUUGUGGAAUCCCCAUCCAUCCCACACCUUUUGUGUCCCGAUGGAGUUGGAAAAGCCACCAAGGUCUUUGGGCUGCUGGAUCAACAAAAUACCAUACAUCAUACCAUCACUGCAUAGCAGCCAAGACUUUCUUUUAGGUGUGUUUUCUCACCCUGAUUCUUUGUCUUGUCAAAUAAAUGACUCAUAGCAGGACUGUUCUCUGAGCUGCAGUGCUUGCAGAGCACCCUGAACCCUGACCAUCUUCCAGCGCCUUCCUACAAUGUCCGUAUGUACCUCAAAGCUUUCAGAUUUCACAGAGAGAGAUACACGGUGCUUGGGCUUGGGAUAAUGCUCCAGAAAUCAUGGCGAGAGAAGGAAGGGUAAGCUGUAUCUUGAACUCAAGGUGGGUGUGGACACAUUUCCCAGGAGUGCCAGGGGGAGCCUGUGCUGCCAGUUGGGCGUGUGGAGCAAUAUCGAGCAGCCGGUCAGGAAAGGGGGAGUGAGGAAAAGUGAACCGAGUUGCCUGAGGAAGGAGAGAUGAAAAGCUGAGCAUAGCAUUAGGGCUGAGUCAGCGGGGAGGGGAGGAGGCUUACAUGGAGCUGGUCCUGCUGGUAUCCUGGGGAAGAGGGGUGCAGUCUUCAGUCCUCAGAUCAGCAUGGUGUUGGGGAACAGGUCUGGUUUAUCUGGGCUGCAGAGUGCCCCAGGGCAUCCCCAUUUCACAGACAUCCCACCACUCAGCCUCAGCAUCCCCCCCGAUGCCACACCAGGUGCUGGUGAGAGCUGCUUUGCUUCUGUUCAGCUCACUGUCACAGGAAAAUCUAUCAAAGCUUUGGAUUUUUUUUUUCUCCUUAGUUUUCUACAAGGUAACCAGUUAAUUUGGCUCUGGGGUGAGGUUUGAAGGAGCUCAGGAGCUGGCAUGGAGUGAAAAGUGACAGCACAUACGUGUGACUUGGUUGGGUAGGACCCUUUCCUUUUUGGCACUGAGCUGAAUGGAGCAAGGUUGUUUUGUGGAGCAUCCUCACAGGCCCACCCAGUGAUCUGAAACCCCCUUCCUGAGGGAAGGCAAGAAACACGGCUCCAUCAUUUAGAAGAGGGGAUCCAACGCAUGGCACUCCUUUAUGGGGCAGAGUUGGGAGUGGACUGAAGGCUCUCAGGGCUAAAUCCUGGUUUUGCAAUGUCACUAAACAUACAUUUAUGCACGCCAUGCAGCAUGGCAUGACUUCCAGAGCCAUUUCCAUCAAUAUGUACAAGUUGUAUGUUGUGUGGCAUUUUGAAUCUUUACACCUGGAGAUUAGGAGGUGCAGAAUGAAAGCUGUAGUGUAAAUAGAUAGAUUAUGGGGAGUUUAGAGAAACUAAGCUGCAAUCUUAAAUUCAAAUAACUUUCCUAUUAGGAAGGAUCUAUUAAUACUUACGGUAUGGUAAUUGUGCUGGCUCCAAGUCCUCACCCAGUCAAAAGUAAGUCAUAAGAGCCCAUACCUACACAUAGAAAAAUCUCCUUAAAACACUGGGAAUUUUGCCUAGAUAAAUACUGCAGAACCUGAGCUGCAAAUGCCUCUUUUAUAAACUACAAAAUCAGAACUUGAUCACAAAAGCAAAACUUCAGUAAGAAAUUUAAGGCAGUGCACACUGCUGCAAGAAUACACUCGAGGAACCCAGAUUUCCUGAGGUUUUUGCACUGCUUUCCCCCUUGUUACCAUUUCCUUUUCCCUAUAGGUGAGGCCAUCCCCAGUACUAAUCUUUGUUCUUUGUGGCUCAGCCGCUCUGGGUAAGCAUCAUCUUCCUUUAUCUGCUGCCUCCUCUUGCUUGCCCAAUGAUUAUCCCAGAAGGAAGAUGGUUUCCCUUUGAUGGUUGCUCCUCAAUGCCACAAGAUAUCUGAAGACAGCCAAUGUUUUCUCCUCCUGUCUAAUCUGUGUGGUCAGAAAGUGAAAGAUUGCAUUCCCUUCAAACAGCUGACCACCCUCUCCUGCCUCUCUCAUUCAUCUGCUGAUGCUGGUAACAAGGAUACCACUCUGGGCUGCCUUCCUCUUCAUUUUGGAAGCUCUCAUAAAGGCUUCUCUUUAAAAGACAUUUUCAGCAGUUGUGUCAAAGCUGGACUUUUACAUUGUUGUAAGCCUUUCACAUUUGUUUGGAGGGACUGAGACUUGCAAAUUUUUGGUGUAUACUUAAUUUUCAAACUUGCUAUCUGUGCCAAGCCAACUCUUUUUUGUCCUCAUUAAAAGGAUUUAAAUAUACAGUUUGACUCAUCUACUGUAGCCCUUUAAGCUCCUGCUUCCUCCCUGGUGUUCUCUUCUUACCCCAUGUAUUGUGCUGCUGCCAUCAAGGUGUGAAUCACUGGGUUGUUUGGGGAUUUGCUCCUCGGACCUAUAGGAGGGUGAGAAGUGCUCCCUGCCAUUCCCAGCAGUACCAGCACGGCAGUGCUAUCACUGCUGUCACACCUAGCUGUCUGUGGGCCCAUAUCCUGGUCCCCAUUUCAGGGCCAGUGGCUGAGGGAGAUGUGAAAUGAUGUGCCAGGAUGCUUCAGAGCCAUUGGUGCCAUCCCACUCCCCUGAAUACUGAGAUGCGCACACUGAAGUUAUCCAGGGAAAUAAUACCCAAACAUCCUUCAUCUGGGUCCUGGGUCAAACUGUGCAACACAGCCCACGUAGAUGCUGCAAAUGUGUGAGAUUUUCAUCUUCAGGUCAGCACGGAUGGACAUAAUGAUCCCUUGAGGCUCUCCGCUUGAAACUGCUGGUUCCAAUUCACCCCUCCCCUGCUCCCAGCGUUGCUGCUGACCACACACUGCUCCUUUCCUUACACCUCUUAUCUGCCAAAUGGAAAAUGCUCAGAGUAGCCCAGCUUCUGCAUCUUGGUGCAGUCGGGCAGUUCCUUUGGCCUGAUAAGCUGUUAUAGAUCCCAUCCCCCUUUUUACUACAGGUAAACCUGGGACAGGUCCUAAAGUAGCUGAGAAACAAUUCUGAAUCUUCCCAUUUUUGUGCAAACUAAGCCAUGUCAAGCUAAACAUAUUGGUUUACCUUUUGUUUGACAUGCUGUAAGUCAAACAGGACCUGAAUACCGUCCUCAUUACUUGAUAUUAUGUAUAUAUGCAUCUAUGCUGUGUUCCAGGUGCCUUUGCCAAAAUAUUAACAGUAAUACUAGGAGGACUAAACGGAGCAGAUGUUCUGUAAUCCCACACCAAAAGGCAACUUGGGAGUGUUGGAAAUUAUGCAGGUACAAAAAGUUUUAUCCCUUGAGCCAUGUACUUUUAUUAUAUAAACGAAUUAUUGUAACAGCUCUCUGAGGUGUCACCAUCAUCUUAUGAAGAGGAGGCUGAGAUGGUUGAUUUGGCAAGGAGCAUGGGGUCAUGGAGUUCUGACCUCAUGGUAGUUCCACCCUCCCUCUCUAUCUUGUAUGCAGCCUAAGUGUAUAAUGUAAUAUUUCAGAACAGGGAUCAUUAAACUGUAAAACUCUA
This is a long non-coding RNA of Corvus hawaiiensis (hawaiian crow), 4860 nucleotides long. RefSeq lists it as uncharacterized. The transcript is spliced from 2 exons. The record is from RefSeq and is a predicted model, not a curated record. Lineage: Eukaryota; Metazoa; Chordata; Aves; Passeriformes; Corvidae.